CCUCCUAAGGAGUAAACGUAUCGGUGUAACGGCGUUGAUACCAUAAUUUAAGAGAUGGAAUAUUGGCUCUUAGGGGUUGUGACGUAUGUCGGAGUGAGAUACUGGGCAAGAUAGGCUAUUUAAAAUGCGCACCAACCCAAUGCCCAAUGCUGCGACCAGAAAAUUGUUGACAACUAAAUUUGCAGGGAAAUAGACACAAAAACACUAUAAUUUUUUGUCAUUGGAUUAUUAAUUUAAAGAGCUUAUUAACUGAGUAUACAACUAAUAGUCAUUUAAAAUUUGUUACGUGUCGGUUUGUCAGUCGAGGGUCAACGCCGUCCAGCCAGUACUUUCAUUCACACAAAAACAACACCAAAUCGACACAUCUCUAAACAACGGAUUCCAAAACGGACACAAGGGCCAGGAGCAAAACUACGCAAAACAAAGAUAAGAAAAAAACUAAUAAAACCCAAUAACAACAAAUCGGACAUUAAACGGUGGCAUCGCUGUUGUUUUUGUGGUGCUAUUGAUUAAUUCGCAUUUCACCACCAUAAAAUUUCAUAUGUAAGACGGCACUUAUCCGAACGACGUGGACAUUCACAUCCCCUCCAUAAUCUUAUGAUUAUAACAAUCAAAAUCUAAAAUUUCAUUUCACUAUAGAAUACAAUUCAAUUCAACAAUAUUUUCGCACGAUCGUAAGCAAACGGAGAAUCUUGCCAAACGCUAUUGUCGGUGGCCGCAAGAAUUAACAUAAAAGUUACUUGUCAGUAGUUUGCACCAAUGGAGAACAAGAUACCAACGUAAAUAACAUAUAACCGGGGGGCCUAAUAUGAGUCUGUUUCUGGCUCUGCCUGUUGCUCGGGCCGAAGACAGACGUUAUGGAACGGAGUCAUUCGGUUGACGUUGUCAUUUGCCUCAUCGUCUAUCCGUCUGGAUAAUGCCAGUAAAAAGGGCGCCGAUGAUAUGGCUGACGGGCACCACUGGAGCGAAACAUUGUCUGGGUGGAAACCUGCUGGUCUCUAUGGCUCGAGAACUUCGUGGUCGACCUAAAAUCCUCAGCGUGGAUCUUUUCGUUGCCAGAACCGUUUGCCGUUUUCAUUUGUUGGAUUGUUUAUUACGUUUCGUGUGUCGUAUUUUUUAGUGUCGGUUGUAUAUGUUUUGGAAGUUUGAAUAUCUUUUCUCCGGCAUUACUAAUUUUAUAUGGGCUAUUCAUUUUCUUUUGGUACCAUUUGAAUAUUUUGUUAAAUAUAUUAUUAUUAAUAAGCGUUUUAUAAGUUCCUUGCCAAAUGUAUAUUUCAGGCUACUUAAGCUUUUUUAAUUCGCCGGAAUAAAAAAGAAAAGUGCUACUGGUGCGUUUGAGCAGAGUCCGACUGUCUUGCACCGCCUCAUCAAAAUUGACUUUAUCGUUGCUGCCGAAAGCCUCUCCAUACAAUCAUAUUUUCGGUGAAUUUGCUACCCAUAGUCAGAAUUGGCAUGGGUAAAUCAACGACUGGGUAAAUCGCUCAUUUUUCUGCGAGCGAUUCGGGCGAGCAUCCGCCUACGCACUCCUGCGUUUUUGGUCAAUUCAGUGGAUCCUGAGUUCUACCCAUGCGAAAGGUACUAAUCCUAGCACAGGCUUACUUAUCUACGCACUGGACAGUGAAAAAAACAUUUAAGCGUUCGACAAAUGCUCAGGUCGUCCGUUCAACUGACGAACGGCACUUAAGGAACGCUACCUUGAAGACUUUUAUGUUUCUGUCGCACUUCUGGACACCUUCAGGACAUACUGUGGGACAGGUGCGGCGCAGGAUCGAAUCUAUAUCGUCCUGGGUCACCUGGUUCCGAAGCUCAUACAACCACGGCCAGCAUAUAGCAAACGUAUACCCAGAGUGAGGCAAAACAAAUAGAUAUUUUGUCAUAGCGGCUACCACCAGGCGAAUGAUGAACAGUCACGAACCUUUCGCCAACAUGCGAAACAUGUGACUUACUGCCAUCAACCACUACAAGAAAAACUUCUCGUGCUCAUGGAUAUUCUGUUAAUCUCUAUCUCCGUCGUGCUUCUCGAAUUCCACGACCCGCCGCCCGAUUAUGUGGCACGAACUCGUGGGCAUAAGAUUUCAGCGAUGUGCACCCUAAAGCAAAGAAAGCCCUUUUCUCUGUACCUUCAUUAGAAUCCUAUUAUUUUUUUUUUUUAUAAAUAGCAGCUUGGAGAUAUCCUGCAAGGGAAAAAUAAAUAAGUUUUAAUGUUAAUAGUGAUAAGGAAUGCAACCAAUUAUAUACCGUACCUGAAGAGAGAAA
This is a long non-coding RNA of Drosophila virilis, 2256 nucleotides long. RefSeq lists it as uncharacterized. NCBI's taxonomy places the organism in Eukaryota, Metazoa, Arthropoda, Insecta, Diptera, Drosophilidae. The record is from RefSeq and is a predicted model, not a curated record.